This 496-nucleotide ribosomal RNA is filed under the name uncultured bacterium. RNAcentral's name for it is "partial 16S ribosomal RNA". It matches the Rfam family "Bacterial small subunit ribosomal RNA", at positions 29 to 507 of the family's 1533-position model. The record is from RNAcentral.
AUGAACGCUGGCGGCGUGCCUAAUCCAUGCCAGUCGAGCGCACGGACGAGAAGCUUGCUUCUCUGAUGUUAGCGGCGGACGGGUGAGUAACACGUGGAUAACCUACCUAUAAGACUGGGAUAACUUCGGGAAACCGUAGCUAAUACCGGAUAAUAUUUUGAACCGCAUGGUUCAAAAGUGAAAGACGGUCUUGCUGUCACUUAUAGAUGGAUCCGCGCUGCAUUAGCUAGUUGGUAAGGUAACGGCUUACCAAGGCAACGAUGCAUAGCCGACCUGAGAGGGUGAUCGGCCACACUGGAACUGAGACACGGUCCAGACUCCUACGGGAGGCAGCAGUAGGGAAUCUUCCGCAAUGGGCGAAAGCCUGACGGAGCAACGCCGCGUGAGUGAUGAAGGUCUUCGGAUCGUAAAACUCUGUUAUUAGGGAAGAACAUAUGUGUAAGUAACUGUGCACAUCUUGACGGUACCUAAUCAGAAAGCCACGGCUAACUACGUG